Molecule: long non-coding RNA, 521 nt
Organism: Suricata suricatta (meerkat)
Lineage: Eukaryota; Metazoa; Chordata; Mammalia; Carnivora; Herpestidae
Exons: 3
Source: RefSeq, a predicted model, not a curated record
CUGGAGGCCCCCUGACUGCCGUUGAAAGACGUUGGCUACCCUCCCCCCGCUCCCCGGCUUCCUGCCUUUGGGUUCACUGCUCCAGGUUCAUGUGUCGCUGCGGACCCCCCAAUCGGAACUGUUGCCAAGGAUUUGGAAGACUGCGCUCCUUGGUUUGGAAGUAGCCUUGGCUGAGACCGGGUUCUUUGGAAACAGACAAGGUCCCAUUUGAGGAGAAUCUUUAUAUAAAAGAUGAAAGGACCCCCCCUAAAGACACUGAGAGGGAGGGCCUCCUGAUACAGCACUUGGCUUAUCUUCGUAAGGAGGGCAAGACUGGCUUUGUGGCCAAAUACAGGACAGAUGGGUUCUGACAUGUGGAGGUUUCUUUGAAAUGGUGCAUUUCUAGUCAUUGAACAAAUGGUGCCACUAUAUGCUGCACCAAAUAUAUAUAUGCAUAAAAAUAUUCUUGCACUAUCUGCUGUGUCCGUGUACAUACUUCAAAGUGAACACUAGGGCGUUAUAAUAAAGUGCACUUUUGAGGA